AUUGAACGCUGGCGGCAUGCCUAACACAUGCAAGUCGAACGGUAACGACGGGAGCUUGCUCCCGGGCGACGAGUGGCGGACGGGUGAGUAACACUUAGGAAUCUGCCCAGUAGUGGGGGACAACCAGGAGAAAUCCUGGCUAAUACCGCAUACGCACUACGGUGGAAAGUGGGGGAUCUUCGGACCUCACGCUAUUGGAUGAGCCCGCGUCGGAUUAGCUUGUUGGUGAGGUAACGGCUUACCAAGGCGACGAUCCGUAGCUGGUCUGAGAGGACGAUCAGCCACACUGGGACUGAGACACGGCCCAGACUCCUACGGGAGGCAGCAGUGGGGAAUAUUGGACAAUGGGCGCAAGCCUGAUCCAGCAAUGCCGCGUGUGUGAAGAAGGCCCUAGGGUUGUAAAGCACUUUCAGUUGGGAAGAAACGCAGGGUGUUAAUACCACCCUGUAAUGACGUUACCGACAGAAGAAGCACCGGCUAACUCCGUG
This 488-nucleotide ribosomal RNA is filed under the name uncultured bacterium. RNAcentral's name for it is "bacterial SSU rRNA". It matches the Rfam family "Bacterial small subunit ribosomal RNA", at positions 30 to 507 of the family's 1533-position model. The record is from RNAcentral.